RNAcentral lists this ribosomal RNA (465 nucleotides) under Vreelandella stevensii. RNAcentral's name for it is "partial 16S ribosomal RNA". It matches the Rfam family "Bacterial small subunit ribosomal RNA", at positions 338 to 795 of the family's 1533-position model. The record is from RNAcentral. Lineage: Bacteria; Pseudomonadati; Pseudomonadota; Gammaproteobacteria; Oceanospirillales; Halomonadaceae.
CCUACGGGGUGCUGCAGUGGGGAAUAUUGGACAAUGGGCGAAAGCCUGAUCCAGCCAUGCCGCGUGUGUGAAGAAGGCCUUCGGGUUGUAAAGCACUUUCAGUGGGGAAGAAAGCCUUGGGGCUAAUACCCUCGAGGAAGGACAUCACCCACAGAAGAAGCACCGGCUAACUCCGUGCCAGCAGCCGCGGUAAUACGGAGGGUGCGAGCGUUAAUCGGAAUUACUGGGCGUAAAGCGCGCGUAGGCGGUCUGAUAAGCCGGUUGUGAAAGCCCCGGGCUCAACCUGGGAACGGCAUCCGGAACUGUCAGGCUAGAGUGCAGGUGAGGAAGGUAGAAUUCCCGGUGUAGCGGUGAAAUGCGUAGAGAUCGGGAGGAAUACCAGUGGCGAAGGCGGCCUUCUGGACUGACACUGACGCUGAGGUGCGAAAGCGUGGGUAGCAAACAGGAUUAGAUACCCCUGUAGUC